This 3830-nucleotide long non-coding RNA is filed under the name Canis lupus familiaris (dog). RNAcentral describes it as "lncRNA (ENSCAFG00845008346.1)". The record is from RNAcentral. Lineage: Eukaryota; Metazoa; Chordata; Mammalia; Carnivora; Canidae.
CUGCGCUCCACGAGCUCCCCGGACCGGACCGCCGCAGGUCAGUCCUGCAGCGUUGCACCGCGGGCCUCUGGUGGGGUGGCCGCCAGCCCGCAGCGCCAGGCGCCUCCGCGUCCCUCUGGGACCCCACCCUGCCCCUGGGGCGACGGGCAGCGCUUGCCCUGCUCUGGAAUCCGGAGGAGCUGAGGGCCUGAGCCCCAGCCCAGGCUGCACAACGGGCCGGGAAGCCUCGGGCGCCACCCUCCCGCGCAUGGGCUUGGACAAGCCCCAUCACCGAGCCUCCACUGCCACAGGCCUAACACAGGGACGUCAGCAAUCCCUACUUGGGAAAGCUGCUGAGACGGCUAAGAAGGAGUUGUAUCACUGUCCUCCAGCUCCCCAGCCCCAUGCAAGCCACCUGCACCCACCUCCCUGAGCCUCAGUCUCCCUAGCCAUAAAAUAGGGAUGAGAGAAGUCCAUACAGGGCUCCCCACAGGAGAUCUCUCCACGGAGGAGACGGCAGCAGCUGCCUGGCACCCCUCAGCUCUCAGGAAAAGCAGCUCCUGGGGUUGCCAUGAAAGCUCAGCAGAGCGCCCCAGAGCCUGGCCCCAUGCCUGUGUUCCAGAAGCCCACAGCUUGUCGCAGCCCAGUUGGGGAGCUGCUGGCCUACAGCUCAGCUGGAGCUCCCUGUCACCCCUGCCUCCAAUGGGACACUCCCGUGCAGCUCACAGGUACUGAAAAUGCAGCAUGGGGGUUCCACCCGGGAGUAGUGGCUUCCUGCAAAGCCGGCCCUGGGACUUGGGGAGCAAAGCAACACCUCGGGUCAGACUCAGCCGUGCCAGGUCAUGUGCCCAGCUCUGUGCCUGGAAGACAGCAGAUCCUCGACGUUGAAGGAGGCUUCUGAGCACAGGCUUGCUCCCCACCCCCAGCCUUGCCCUGGGGACUCCUGGUUGGAAGGCAAGUGCUCCUGGCUGGGGCCUUCCAGAGGCCUGCACAACUCCACGCUCAGUGUGGCUCCAGCCUCCUCCACCUCCCAGGCUCAGCCCCAGGAGCUUGAUGCUUGUGGAACCAGGGCUCGAAGGAGGGACUCGGAUGAGCUCAGAACUCAGAAUUCCACCUGGGCCUGUCAGAUUCCGCAGCCCCGCUGGCAGGAAGCGAGCAGGGGACAGCAAGCCGCAGGUUCCCGAGACCAUGCCUGCCGCGGUCCCCGAAUCCGUUCACUCCCAAGGAGCUGCUUAGAAACAAUGCCACCGUCACCAGCACCCCCUCCCCGGGCAGGGCCACGCUUGUCCAGUGGAAAUCUUGGACGCCUAAUGACAUAUUUCUGUCCGGGAAGAAAUCUGAACUCUGAAACCGAACUUGAUUAAACCCCAAACUGCAAGACCUUGCCCGAUGGGACCACUCGGGGACUUUGACUUCUGGGUGUCAGAGCUUAAUUAAAAUAUUCAUCCAGCUGCUCUCCCCUCACCAAGGGGGCCCAGAGGAAUUAAACCAAUAAGCUUAAUUCUAUUAUUCACCUGCCUGUGUACACAGAGAUGCAGAAGACCAUUUACUGGUUCAGAAAAAAAUUAUCAGACGCACCCUGCAAAUGCAGCGUGGGCCGUUCCUGAAUCACGAAAUGGUCCCCUAAACAGAGGUCUACACAGCACUCUGGAGUCUCAGCCCCUGACUCCACACGCACACACAGCUAGUUUUAAUCUCCCUUCCAAGCAAACAAAAAUGCCAAGCAAGUCACUGUAAGGACUUCUGUGCGUAUUAUGAUUUAUGUAUCAUUUAUAACAACACGUAACAUUUACUGAAUUCUCUGUGCCACUGUGCCAAGCCUUCCCCAUUUGGCUCUCACGGAAAUCUUCAUUUCCAGUCCACAAAGUGAACACCACUAUUACCCCCACUUGGCAGAUAAGAAAACCAAGGCUCCGUGAGAUAAAGGGACUUGCAGCCCUGAACUCCCAGGCCACAAAGUCUGAGUUCCUAACUCCUGGAAAUGAGGGCUUCACUGACAUUUUGAUCUUUCUGCAUUACAUUUUAAUUAACUUAUCUUCUAUCCACACACACAGGAUACAAUGCAGAAGGUACAGAGGCCGGGAAGGCCAAAGUCAUUCUCAGGCCCUCCCUUCCUCAGCCCCCUGGUUCCCUCCUCAAAGCAGCCGCUGGGGAAAAAUCCCCGUGUCUCCUCCCAGAGCUGAGGCUUAUUCCAGCAAAUACAGGUCUAUUGGUUUGUUUGUUUUUUUUUUUUUUUUUUUUUUUUAAACCGCAUGUGGAGCAUAACAGGUACGCUAUUUUGCAACUUGCUUUUUUCGUUUCAUAAAAUAUCUUGGAGAGUCCUCCACCUCGUCCCUGACGGCAUGCCAUUCCAUUCAAUAGACAUAAUAGACUGAACCGGGAGAUGGUCAAUAUCCAGCCAGGUUUGACCAGCAAAACCAGUUUGCCAGUUUUGCUGGUCAAAACUGGCCACUUAACAUGGUUCUGCUUUAUAUAGAUAUUUUUUAACCUAGUUUCCUGUGAUCCAUGCUUAGAUGGUUUCCUGCCUUUUGCACCUAAAACGGCGCUGUGUUAAAUAUCUUCUCACACACAGGUAUUCUCUGUAGGACAGGUUCCUACAAAUACCACUACCUGUGAUGUGGGGACGGCAAGUCCCCGCUCUUGGCCUGAAGUCUUCGAAAUGCAGCGGCCACACUGGAUCAUCUCUCAAGCCCUGGCAGGCUCCAUUGUUCUGCCAGACGGUACCCCCCACGUCUGUAACGCUGCAUCGGAGCGGUCACCCACCACCAUCCCAUGGAACACAACCACGGCUUCAGCUCAGGGUCCCCCCCAAAUCACUGUGAAAACAAAUGUUUUCCAGCAAACACGAACUCCCUCCCUGCUGACUGUAUUUGUCAGCCAGGGAAUGAGACAUUUCCCCGUGAUCAAUACAAAUGGAAUAGAAAUCUAUCCCAGGCAGCAGCAGCAAGACUUGGUUUUUUUAAUAAGGGGACCUCCAGAGGAUAUUGCAUUCCUAUGACAACAGCCGACAGACCUUGACUUUUAGUGUCAGAACCUGUUUAAUGCAGAGGUCUGCGGCUGGGGCCCAGCCGAGCCGUGGGUGGGGGUCUCAGGCUCAAAAAGGACUGGUUCCUGAAGGCUGCUGCAGAAACCAGCCCACUGCCCCGGCCCGGUGCCUGGCCUCGGCCCCCGGGCCACCUGUUCACAAAGGCAGCCGGAUUUGCCAGCUGGGCUGUGGCGGAGCUGCUGAGGCCGCUGGGCUGGGCUGGGCUGGCCGGAGGUGAGCUGCAGCCACAGAGCCGGUUAUUUACGGCUCGCCAGUGGUCCCCGACGACUAGGCAUCUCCGGGAUGAUGGCAAUUCGCCUUAAACAAGACCAGGUACCUGGCCAAAGGUGGCAGCGAGCAUGAGCAACUGUACUGACCUUGUUGUAAAUUAAUCUGGUAAUAGAGCGACUCAAAGAGACACCCUGAGUUGGUUACUGUGUGAAAAGACUUCGAGACGGGCCAGCUAUGAACUGUCCAGGACAAAGUAGAGGUUCUGUAAACACGAUGCUUGCCCAAACAGCCUAGGUGCCUCUGAGUUGGGUCUCCGGAUUCUUCUGCCUCUUUUAAAAUUAUCUGCUGAUAGAGACCAGGCAGAAACAGGAAAACAGCUGGCAUGUAAGGGAGAUGGGAUCGGCAGUGAUUUAUUUCCAAGGAUCUGAUAUUUUAAGUUAUUGUUGUUAUGUGCAUGCAAUAAAUCAUAUUUUAAAGUAUCCACUAAUAGUGUUUUCCAAAAAAAAAAAAAAAAAAUUAAAAAAAUUCUUUCAAGUGGAUGGGUUGUUUCUGGAGGCCAAAUCCUUGGGUUUUAUUAAAAGAUGUGACAAUAAGA